AUUGAACGCUGGCGGCAGGCCUAACACAUGCAAGUCGAACGAGUGGCGGACGGGUGAGUAAUGUCUGGGAAACUGCCUGAUGGAGGGGGAUAACUACUGGAAACGGUAGCUAAUACCGCAUACCAUCAGAUGUGCCCAGAUGGGAUUAGCUUGUUGGUGGGGUAACGGCUCACCAAGGAGACGAUCCCUAGCUGGUCUGAGAGGAUGACCGGCCACACUGGAACUGAGACACGGUCCAGACGCAUACGGGAGGAAGCAGUGGGGAAUAUUGGACAAUGGGCGCAAGCCUGAUGCAGACAUGCCGAGUGUAUGAAGAAGGCCUUCGGGUUGUAAAGUACUUGCAGCGGGGAGGCGUUACCCUAAGAAGAAGCACCGGCUAACUCCGUGCCAGCAGCCGCGGUAAUUC
This 406-nucleotide ribosomal RNA is filed under the name uncultured bacterium. Its description in RNAcentral is "partial 16S ribosomal RNA". It matches the Rfam family "Bacterial small subunit ribosomal RNA", at positions 30 to 526 of the family's 1533-position model. The record is from RNAcentral.